GAGUAUCAUGCCCUCACGGGUGGAUCUCCACCCUUGAAUAACAUACCUUUGUUGCUUUGGCAGGACGCACUCGUGCCAGGGGCUUCGGCUCUUGAGUGCCUGCCAGAGGACCACAACUCUUGUUUUUAGUGAUGUCUGAGUACUAUAUAAUAGUUUAAAACUUUCAACAACGGAUCUCUUGGUUCU
RNAcentral lists this unclassified non-coding RNA (186 nucleotides) under rhizosphere metagenome. RNAcentral's name for it is "partial ribosomal RNA internal transcribed spacer region". The record is from RNAcentral.